UGGUGGCGAGUGGCGGACGGGUGAGUAAUGCAUCGGAACGUGUCCUAAAGUGGGGGAUAACGCAUCGAAAGAUGUGCUAAUACCGCAUAUUCUCUGAGGAGGAAAGUAGGGGAUCGAAAGACCUUAUGCUUUUGGAGCGGCCGAUGUCUGAUUAGCUAGUUGGUAGGGUAAUGGCUUACCAAGGCGACGAUCAGUAGUUGGUCUGAGAGGACGACCAGCCACACUGGGACUGAGACACGGCCCAGACUCCUACGGGAGGCAGCAGUGGGGAAUUUUGGACAAUGGGCGCAAGCCUGAUCCAGCAAUGCCGCGUGAGUGAAGAAGGCCUUCGGGUUGUAAAGCUCUUUCAGUUGAGAAGAAAAAGUCGUGACUAAUAAUCAUGAUUCAUGACGGUAUCAACAGAAGAAGCACCGGCUAACUACGUGCCAGCAGCCGCGGUAAUACGUAGGGUGCAAGCGUUAAUCGGAAUUACUGGGCC
RNAcentral lists this ribosomal RNA (478 nucleotides) under uncultured bacterium. RNAcentral describes it as "bacterial SSU rRNA". It matches the Rfam family "Bacterial small subunit ribosomal RNA", at positions 86 to 560 of the family's 1533-position model. The record is from RNAcentral.